UACGUAGGUGGCAAGCGUUGUCCGGAUUUAUUGGGUUUAAAGGGUGCGUAGGUGGCUAACUAAGUCAGUGGUGAAAUAUCUCAGCUUAACUGAGAGGGUGCCAUUGAUACUGGAUAGCUUGAGUACAGAUGAGGUAGGCGGAAUUGGCGGUGUAGCGGUGAAAUGCAUAGAUAUCGUCAAGAACACCGAUAGCGAAGGCAGCUUACCAAGCUGUAACUGACACUGAGGCACGAAAGUGUGGGGAUCAAACAGG
RNAcentral lists this ribosomal RNA (253 nucleotides) under uncultured prokaryote. RNAcentral describes it as "partial 16S ribosomal RNA". It matches the Rfam family "Bacterial small subunit ribosomal RNA", at positions 524 to 776 of the family's 1533-position model. The record is from RNAcentral.